AGCAGCCGCGGUAAUUCCAGUUCCAAUAGCGUAUAUUAAAGUUGUUGCAGUUAAAAAGCUCGUAGUUGAAUUUUGGAUUCUUCCAAUUGGUCCAUCUUUUAGAUGAGUACUGGUUGUGUGGGGUCUAUCCGCCUGGUGAUACGUAAUGUCCUUUAUUGGAUGUUGCGGGUAGUCAGGACCUUUACCUUGAAAAAAUUAGAGUGUUUAAAGCAGGCUUAUGCCGGAAUACAUUAGCAUGGAAUAAUAGAAUAGGACGAAGUUGUUUUAUUUUGUUGGUUUCUAGGACAACCGUAAUGAUUAAUAGGGAUAGUUGGGGGCAUUAGUAUUCAAUUGUCAGAGGUGAAAUUCUUGGAUUUAUUGAAGACUAACUACUGCGAAAGCAUUUGCCAAGGAUGUUUUCAUUAAUCAAGAACGAAAGUUAGGGGAUCGAAGACGAUCAGAUACCGUCGUAGUCUUAACCAUAAACUAUGCCGACCAGGGAUCGGGCGAUGUUGUUUCCAUGACUCGCUCGGCACCUUAU
RNAcentral lists this ribosomal RNA (520 nucleotides) under uncultured Archaeospora. RNAcentral describes it as "SSU rRNA". It matches the Rfam family "Eukaryotic small subunit ribosomal RNA", at positions 569 to 1091 of the family's 1831-position model. Lineage: Eukaryota; Fungi; Glomeromycota; Glomeromycetes; Archaeosporales; Archaeosporaceae. The record is from RNAcentral.